Pelmatolapia mariae (spotted tilapia) is the source of this 1367-nucleotide long non-coding RNA. RefSeq lists it as uncharacterized. Lineage: Eukaryota; Metazoa; Chordata; Actinopteri; Cichliformes; Cichlidae. The transcript is spliced from 3 exons. The record is from RefSeq and is a predicted model, not a curated record.
AUUGUUGUCUGGUCAUUUGUAAGUUACACAUUGCUGCAAGAGCUUUCAAUCUAGAAAUACUAAUUGCUAAUUGUUUCCCCCUGAUGAUCACAAUUAGUUACCAUAUAAGUAGAACUGUGUUUGAGACUUUGCACUGUUCAAAUAUGGAGCAGGAUAGACUCGUAGGGAGAGGAAACCUUCAUCGGAGAGGUGGUGGUGCUCCUCGACAGAGAGGUGGUCUUCAGAGAAAUGUAGGCAGAAGACAACGCACCAUCAUCUCUAAUGAAGUCCGGGCCAUCAUUGUUGACCAUGUGGUUAACAGAGGCUUUACCAUGGCUGAGGCUGCCAGGUUGGUACAGCCUAAAGGUCAACUGUCAGCUCUGUCAUCAGAACUUUUCGCCAAGAAAACCGAAUUAACAGGAGACAACCUGGUGGUGGUCGCCCACGUGUUUUGACUGACCAGCAGGAGUUGGCUGUGGUGGAAAUGGUCAGGGCAAGGAAUGACAUACGGCUGUCUGAAAUCAAACAGGCUAUUGAGAACAGCAAUGACACCUUUGCCAAUGUGCCAUCAAUUAGCCUUCCAACGAUUGCCCGGCUUUUGAAGAAGCACCAGGUUUCCAUGAAACAAAUUUACUUGGUUCCUUUUGAGAGGAACAAUGUCCGGGUGAAACAAUGUCCGGGUGAAACAACUGCGUUCAGAAUAUAUUCAGAGGGUGAUGGAGCUGGACGCUGCUGUGAAUCAUCACAAGUAUAUUUUUGUUGAUGAGGCCGGUUUCAAUCUGGCAAAAACUAGACGCAGAGGACGUAACCUUAUUGGACAAAGGGCUACCAUCCAAGUCCCUGGACAACGUGGGGGAAACAUCUCAAUGUGUGCAGCUAUAUCUGAAGAUGGUGUGGUAGGCUGUAGACCAGUUCUAGGGUCAUACAACACUGAACACCUGAUAGUUUUGUUUUUUUAAAUGAGCUGGAGCAGGCCUGUCAGGGAGAAGACAUCAUCUAUGUUGUUGUGUGGGACAAUGUCAGCUUCCACCAUGCACAGCUGAUUCAGGAAUGGUUUCAAACACAUCCUCGCUUCAUCACCCUCUAUCUUCCACCAUAUUCCCCUUUCCUCAACCCAAUUGAGGAAUUCUUCUCUACGUGGAGGUGGAAGGUGUAUGAUCGCCAUCCCCAUGAGCAUGUCUCCCUUCUUCAAGCCAUGUGUGAAGCUUGUGGUGAUAUAACUGCUGAGCAAUGUCAAGCCUGGAUUCGUCAUGCCAGGAGAUUUUUCCCACGGUGCCUGAACAACGAAGACAUCCCCUGUGAUGUUGAUGAAAAUUUAUGGCCCAAUGUUAACGACCGGCUUGAUUAAUUGUGUGAAAGUGAUAAGAAUAAAAAUAAAUUUUGCUGAU